CAUUGUCUUGACAAGAGCAUCCUCAGCGGGCGAGUCCCCGGCUCCUCCAGCUCCUUCCUCCUCUUCCUCCUCCUCCUCCACCUCCGGCUUUUGGGGGGUCACGGUCCUCUCUCGGCAGCAGAAUGAGCCGGCAGGUGGUCCGCUCCAGCAAGUUCCGCCACGUGUUUGGACAGCCAGCCAAGGCCGACCAGUGCUAUGAAGAUGUGCGCGUCUCACAGACCACCUGGGACAGUGGCUUCUGUGCCGUCAACCCUAAGUUUGUGGCCCUGAUCUGUGAGGCCAGCGGGGGAGGGGCCUUCCUGGUGCUGCCCCUGGGCAAGGUGAGCCCCUGGGGCCCUGGGGGGAGCAGCUCCCAUGGCUCUGUGCAGGUCCUGAUUAGGUGACUGUCACCAGGCCUUCCAGGGCCUGUGUUGCCAUCUGGAAAACUGAGCUGGGCCCCAUGAGCCUUACACUUCCUCCAGCUCCUCUGUGCUGUGGCUGUGUGGAAACUGACGCUCAGAAUGAGCCAACACAAGAUGGGUCACACCAGUGACCAGGACUACAGACAGUCCUGCAGACCCACGACCAGCCCUUCUGAGCCUCAGCCUGGGGCUGGAAACACAGAGAGGGCUGUGAUGGGGUCUGGGGGCCCCCGACUGCAGACAGUCUGCAGACCCACGACCAGCCCUCCUGAGCCUCAGCCUGGGGCUUUCUCCCCAUGGAAACACAGAGAGGGUUGGGAUGGGGUCUGGGGGCCCUGGCAGCAUUCUCGGGGUUGGGAGGGACUCUGGCUCUGGGCCUGUCUGAGGACCCAGGAACUCUGUCCCCUAGCUCGCAGGCAGGGAUGAUGCAAGAGGUGCUCUCCCCCACCCCCAGCCCUGCCCUCCCCUGGAGCCUGCUGCCCCCUCCGCUGGCUGUCUGCUGCCCCGCACCCCCAGCACACUCCUGUGCUCUUUGGGGGGUAAGACAGGAAGGGGAGAUGGGCCUCAAGUUGUUACCUUAAAAGGGCCGAUGGAAGCAAAGAGAAGAGGAAGUGGUUGUCGGGGUGAGAGCUGGGCCCGCGCCCCGCACGGCUGUCAAACAGGAAGCCCUGCUGAAGCAGCUGUCCCCGGAAGAAGCCAUUUCCAAACCUCUGCUCCUGCCUGGGGCCAGUUAAGACAGGCUCCCUGGCCCCUCUCCUUUUGGGAGGACCCACCCCUGCAGCCCCACCACUCACACUUGCUCUCUGGGGAGCCGCCCCCACCCCCACCCCCAGCCCCCAUACACCUGUCCUGGCUCCAGGGCCAGUUGUGCCCAUGGAAGCCUCACUUGGGGAAGCUGGGGUGGGGGUGCCAACUCUAAGGGCAGAGACAGACUGAGACAGAGACCGGCAGGAACUCCACCAGGGUCUUGCACAGCCCCCAACCUCUGCCAUGCGUGGCCAGCCCUCCUGGGGUUUGCCCAGGCCAUUUUGGGGCUGGAACAAGAGAAGAACAACCCGACCCCUGCCCCUACCCUAGGCCCUGGUCCAGCUCCCAGGGACACCACAGCUUUCUUCUCUGGGCCUCUCUGAAGGAGGUGUGGGGAGGUUGGAUUGGGUUUGGGGGGAAAAGCACCUACAUCCAAGGCCCUGCUGUGCCUUUAGACUGGACGUGUAGACAAGAAUGCGCCCACGGUCUGUGGCCACACAGCCCCUGUGCUAGACAUCGCCUGGUGCCCGCACAAUGACAACGUCAUUGCCAGUGGCUCCGAGGACUGCACAGUCAUGGUGUGGGAGAUCCCGGAUGGGGGCCUGAUGUUGCCCCUGCGGGAGCCUGUCGUCACCCUGGAGGGCCACACCAAGCGUGUAGGCAUUGUGGCCUGGCACCCCACAGCCCAGAACGUGCUGCUCAGUGCAGGUUGUGACAACGUGAUCAUGGUGUGGGACGUGGGCACUGGGGCGGCCAUGCUGACGCUGGGCCCAGAGGUGCACCCAGACACGAUCUACAGUGUGGACUGGAGCCGAGACGGAGGCCUCAUUUGUACCUCCUGCCGUGACAAGCGCGUGCGCAUCAUCGAGCCCCGCAAAGGCACUGUUGUAGCUGAGAAGGAUCGUCCCCACGAGGGGACCCGGCCCGUGCGUGCAGUGUUCGUGUCGGAGGGGAAGAUCCUGACCACGGGCUUCAGCCGCAUGAGUGAGCGGCAGGUGGCGCUGUGGGACACAAAGCACCUGGAGGAGCCGCUGUCCCUGCAGGAGCUGGACACCAGCAGCGGUGUCCUGCUGCCCUUCUUUGACCCUGACACCAACAUCGUCUACCUCUGUGGCAAGGGUGACAGCUCUAUCCGGUACUUUGAGAUCACUUCCGAGGCCCCGUUCCUGCACUAUCUCUCCAUGUUCAGUUCCAAGGAGUCCCAGCGGGGCAUGGGCUACAUGCCCAAACGUGGGCUGGAGGUGAACAAGUGUGAGAUCGCCAGGUUCUACAAGCUGCACGAGCGGAGGUGUGAGCCCAUUGCCAUGACAGUGCCUCGAAAGUCGGACCUGUUCCAGGAGGACCUGUACCCACCCACCGCAGGGCCUGACCCUGCCCUCACGGCUGAGGAGUGGCUGGGGGGUCGGGAUGCUGGGCCCCUCCUCAUCUCCCUCAAGGAUGGCUACGUACCCCCAAAGAGCCGGGAGCUGAGGGUCAACCGGGGCCUGGACACUGGGCGCAGGAGGGCAGCACCAGAGGCCAGUGGCACUCCCAGCUCGGAUGCCAUGUCCCGGCUGGAGGAGGAGAUGCGGAAGCUCCAGGCCACGGUGCAGGAGCUCCAGAAGCGCUUGGACAGGCUGGAGGAGACAGUCCAGGCCAAGUAGAGCCCCACAGGGACUUCAGCAGGGUCAGCCAUUCACACCCAUCCACUCACUUCCCAUUCCCAGCCACAUGGCAGAGAAAAAAAUCAUAAUAAAAUGGCUUUAUUUUCUGGU
RNAcentral lists this small RNA (2902 nucleotides) under Pongo abelii (Sumatran orangutan). RNAcentral's name for it is "retained intron". Lineage: Eukaryota; Metazoa; Chordata; Mammalia; Primates; Hominidae. The record is from RNAcentral.